GACGAACGCUGGCGGCGUGCUUAACACAUGCAAGUCGAACGGAAAGGCCUGUCCUUCCUUGUGUUGGACGGGUACUCGAGUGGCGAACGGGUGAGUAACACGUGAGUGAUCUGCCCCCAACUUGGGUAUAAGCCUGGGAAACUGGGUCUAAUUCCCGAUAGGACUGCAGGGUGGUGCCUGUGUUGGAAAACGAUUUUCUAGUGGUUGGGGAUGUGCUCGCGGCCUAUCAGCUUGUUGGUGGGGUAAUGGCCUACCAAGGCGGCGACGGGUAGCCGGCCUGAGAGGGUGGACGGCCAGAUUGGGACUGAGAUACGGCCCAGUCUCCUACGGGAGGCAGCAGUGGGGAAUAAUGCACAAUGGGCGGAAGCCUGAUGCAGCGACGCCGCGUGGGGGAUGACGGCCUUCGGGUUGUAAACUCCUUUCGACCGCGAGGAAGCCGCCUGGUUGGAAGGGUGGUGACGGUAGUGGUAGAAGAAGCACCGGCUAACUACGUG
Molecule: ribosomal RNA, 494 nt
Filed under: uncultured bacterium
Lineage: Bacteria
Description: partial 16S ribosomal RNA
Rfam family: Bacterial small subunit ribosomal RNA
Source: RNAcentral